This is a non-coding RNA of Paramuricea clavata, 295 nucleotides long. Lineage: Eukaryota; Metazoa; Cnidaria; Anthozoa; Malacalcyonacea; Plexauridae. The record is from the annotation of a GenBank genome assembly.
AGAUGAUACAAAGUUGUACAGAAGCAUCGUAUCAGUGGCUGACUGCGAAGAUCAACAGCAAGCUCUUACUAACCUUGAUACAUGGACAGUGUCAAUAACCUUAAAUUUAAUGCAUCUAAAUGCUGUUGACCGUGACAAGAAAGAGAAGCCCAAUAUCUCAAUCUCUUGGGACACUCAUAUCAACGUUAUCGUCGCUGAAUCGAACAAGCUGCUGGGUUUACUGAAGAGAACUUGUUUCUUGUUGACGGACGUAUAAAUUUAGACGUACGCUGUAUCUGUCACUCGGCAAUCUUGU